Small nucleolar RNA from Humulus lupulus (European hop), 115 nucleotides. RefSeq annotates it as small nucleolar RNA Z278. The transcript has a single exon. Lineage: Eukaryota; Viridiplantae; Streptophyta; Magnoliopsida; Rosales; Cannabaceae. The record is from RefSeq and is a predicted model, not a curated record.
GCCUGGGAUGAUUCAAUCCACUUGUUUGAGGUGUUGUGGAGCCGAGACCCUGUUUACAGGGAGAACCCCUUGGCAAAACUUCAUUUCAUAUGACAUUAUUGGAUUUAACUGAGGC